GGUAAGGUAAGCUAAAGGAUUAAGCUGUUGGGUUCAUACCCCGAAAAUAAAUAAUAAAUAUUUCUUUACUA
This 71-nucleotide transfer RNA is filed under the name Eumandya parva. Its description in RNAcentral is "tRNA-Met". The record is from RNAcentral. Lineage: Eukaryota; Metazoa; Mollusca; Cephalopoda; Sepiida; Sepiolidae.